RNAcentral lists this ribosomal RNA (119 nucleotides) under Gossypium hirsutum (cotton). Lineage: Eukaryota; Viridiplantae; Streptophyta; Magnoliopsida; Malvales; Malvaceae. The record is from RNAcentral.
GGGUGCGAUCAUACCAGCACUAAUACACCGGAUCCCAUCAGAACUCUGCAGUUAAGGGUGCUUGGGCGAGAGUAGUACUAGAUUGGGUGACCUCCUGGGAAGUCCUGGUGUUGCACCCC